GUCAAAACCCAAUGAAUGUCGAAUUUCUUUCAAAGUGGUUCCAUGGGCUCCAAGCUCUAUCAUUCCCAUGGCUAUUGCAAUGCUCAGAGGACAGAAAAGAAUAUUCUCAUCUUCUCUUGCAGCUCGUAGCUGAUUGUAAACAUUCACAGAAAGCUCAGCAAUAGUUUCAUCAGGAAAAUUGGUCUUGAAGGCUUUACUUGGCAGAACGAGCAAAGACAAUAGUCCAAGGAAAUACAUGUUGUGAGACAUUAAGACCAGCUCAGCACAGAAGCUCAACACCACCCCCUCCACACUCCACCGUGGGAAGUGCUGCCGCCAC
RNAcentral lists this long non-coding RNA (319 nucleotides) under Gallus gallus (chicken). The record is from RNAcentral. Lineage: Eukaryota; Metazoa; Chordata; Aves; Galliformes; Phasianidae.